Molecule: ribosomal RNA, 253 nt
Filed under: uncultured bacterium
Lineage: Bacteria
Description: partial 16S ribosomal RNA
Rfam family: Bacterial small subunit ribosomal RNA
Source: RNAcentral
UACGAAGGGGGCUAGCGUUGCUCGGAAUCACUGGGCGUAAAGGGUGCGUAGGCGGGGCUUUAAGUCAGGGGUGAAAUCCUGGAGCUCAACUCCAGAACUGCCUUUGAUACUGAAGAUCUUGAGUUCGGGAGAGGUGAGUGGAACUGCGAGUGUAGAGGUGAAAUUCGUAGAUAUUCGCAAGAACACCAGUGGCGAAGGCGGCUCACUGGCCCGAAACUGACGCUGAGGCACGAAAGCGUGGGGAGCAAACAGG